GACUCUUAAUAAAUAAAGUACAUAAAAAGUAGGCUAUGUGCUAAGUCAGGGUAUAAGCAAUCCCUAUUCCAGCCAAAUCAGAUCAGUCACUGUAACGUGAAGGA
This is a long non-coding RNA of Maniola jurtina (meadow brown), 104 nucleotides long. RefSeq lists it as uncharacterized. NCBI's taxonomy places the organism in Eukaryota, Metazoa, Arthropoda, Insecta, Lepidoptera, Nymphalidae. The transcript has 3 exons. The record is from RefSeq and is a predicted model, not a curated record.